CGGACUGUACACUGACUUCAUGUUUUCCUGGAUAUGAACUUCACUGCGUAAACAGGGAGUGUACAUGCACCCAUGAAGCCCACGGUGGAGGACCCUGCACGAACGUAAACGAUUGUCACGAUAGAUGUCCACAUGCUCAUGAUCGUGAACAUUGUAUCGACGGCCGUUGUAGAUGCAGUCACUAAGUUAUUUUAUUCAAUAAAGUAUGACUAAUU
Saccostrea cuccullata (small rock oyster) is the source of this 215-nucleotide long non-coding RNA. RefSeq lists it as uncharacterized. Lineage: Eukaryota; Metazoa; Mollusca; Bivalvia; Ostreida; Ostreidae. The record is from RefSeq and is a predicted model, not a curated record. The transcript has 2 exons.